GACGAACCGUGCAAACGUUAUUCGGAAUCACUGGGCUUAAAGGGCGCGUAGGCGGGUCCUCAAGUCAGGGGUGAAAUCCCACGGCUCAACCGUGGAAGUGCCUUUGAUACUGGGGGUCUCGAGGGAGGUAGGGGCGUGCGGAACUUCCGGUGGAGCGGUGAAAUGCGUAGAUAUCGGAAGGAACACCGGUGGCGAAAGCGGCGCGCUGGACCUCUUCUGACGCUGAGGCGCGAAAGCCAGGGGAGCAAACGGG
This 253-nucleotide ribosomal RNA is filed under the name uncultured bacterium. RNAcentral's name for it is "partial 16S ribosomal RNA". It matches the Rfam family "Bacterial small subunit ribosomal RNA", at positions 524 to 776 of the family's 1533-position model. The record is from RNAcentral.